AAAUGAAAAAAGUAAUAUAUGAAGAGGAUUCAUUCAAAUAUUAAUGAAUAUGAAUUAAUAUUUGAAUGAAUCUUAAUUCAUAUUCAUUACUUAAUUGGUC
RNAcentral lists this microRNA precursor (100 nucleotides) under Brugia malayi. Its description in RNAcentral is "microRNA bma-mir-9520 precursor". Lineage: Eukaryota; Metazoa; Nematoda; Chromadorea; Rhabditida; Onchocercidae. The record is from miRBase by way of RNAcentral.